CCGUCACCUUCUCAAAGUGCACCCUCCUCGUCCUCAUCCGCUUCUCCCGCUUCAGUAUCGAGGACGCUAGAAAGACAUUAAAGUGCGUGUGUUGAGGAUGAGGAUGAUGCUGUUGAAGGAUGGCUGAAGUGCGAGGCUGACGGGUUGACGCUGUCGCUGCUGUCUCCGCUCUCAGUGCUGGAUAUCUCCUCCUCCUCAGACUCCCUCAGUGAGGAGCAGGGUGACGCCCCCUCCACCUCCUCAAACUUCCUCUUCAGAAUUCCACUCAUGGCUGCCGUCAGGCUGCACCAGACAAAGAGUGCAACUAGAAUUGAGCCAGCGAUGAGAAGAGUGAAAAAAGAGACAUGCACACACAUACACACAACAGAGAAACCAGAGUCUGGAGAGAGAGAGAGAGCGAGAGAGAGGGGGGAAGGCUGGCUGGCAGCCUCAUUACUGAAGGAGGGAAUGUUUUGUUUCACACUGCAAGCCUCACAGAGCCAUCGGAUGACUACUGAAGCCCAGCAGAGCUGCUGA
This 516-nucleotide long non-coding RNA is filed under the name Sinocyclocheilus grahami. RNAcentral describes it as "lncRNA (ENSSGRG00000010029.1)". Lineage: Eukaryota; Metazoa; Chordata; Actinopteri; Cypriniformes; Cyprinidae. The record is from RNAcentral.